This 288-nucleotide small RNA is filed under the name uncultured Duncaniella sp. RNAcentral describes it as "5' ureB small RNA". It matches the Rfam family "5' ureB small RNA". The record is from RNAcentral. Lineage: Bacteria; Pseudomonadati; Bacteroidota; Bacteroidia; Bacteroidales; Muribaculaceae.
CUGCUGCGGCGACACGAAAUGCACGUGUCCGUCGAUACCUGCGGCAGUCAGGAUAAGAUGCUCGCCCGAGAUGGCGUCGGUCGAGGGACCGGUGCAGAGUGUCGGGGUCACACCCUCCAUGAUGUUGGGGUUACCGGCCUUGCCGAUACCUGCGAUCUUGCCGUCCUUGACACCGACAUCGGCCUUGAUUACACCGAGCAGCGGGUCGAGGAUGGUGACGUUGGUGAUGACGAGGUCGAGCGACCCGGCAUCAGACGUGAUUGUGUUGGCCGUGCCCAUGCCGUCGCG